AAUUAACUGAGUAAUAUUAUAUGUGAAUAUAUAAAUAUAUCUUUCUAAAUGAAAAUAUAAAUAAAUAAAUUAUAUAUUUUUUCAGUGUAAUACAAAAUUCUCUAGGUGUGAAAACUUGAAUCCCGUUUUGUUAAUUUUUCCGUCAAUUAAUAGGCAUGAUUUUGCCAUUUCAUGAGUAGCAAAAAUUAGACAAUUCAGUUCAAAUAAUACAUGUCAUUAUGUUCACUAACAUUUAGAGAAGCAUUGGAUUUUUACUUUGGGAAUUAUAUUAUAGAUUAAAAUGGCUCAUGAAAUUCUGUCCUUUAAACACGGUUAUACAAUAUUUCCUUAGAAAACUUUUUUACUGUCAUUUUAAAUUUUUUCUGUAAAAUAAGAAUUAACUUUUCUGAGAAUUCCUUUACUUUCCCUCUGGCCUCAUACCCCUUGAGAGCCCAUAGUGAAUUUCAGCCUAAAGGAAUUCUUUUUCUUCAUAUGGCAUGGUCAUCAGCAUGUUAUGAAAUACAAAGACACAUUUACGAUUGGAAUCAUUCAACAAAAAGCAAAAGCAAAUGAGCCUGAAAAAGGAACUGAGCUGUUGUCUAGAAUGUCCUCAGAACCUUCGACACCUCAGUAUGACUUUGAAUUUAAUAACACUUUAUUUUCAUCUAUUUUUAACUUAAGCAUAACUCUAUUUAUGUGCAAUUGUGGGGAACAUAUGAGAAUUAAAAGUAUAGUGUGCUAGGUAUAGUCCAUGUCACAGAACACAAUCUAAAAGACUUUUAGUCUCUAGAAGUAGACCUUACACACACGUGUAUUUUUAAUGCCCAAAUAUAUGUUGCUGAUGAUAUUUAGGAUGAUAAAAUAAUAAGUUUCUAACUAUAAUUGUGGCACCUAAUUCUGUAGAUAUCACCAUCAAAAAUGCUGGAUACACAAUAGCUGGAUUUAACCAGUUUACUGUUAGAGAACAUUCAACAAAGGGGAAAAGUAGCAAGAAUGUUGUGAGUGCUGUGUAUAUAGUGCUUAGAUAGAUAUACCUCAAAGAUGCUUACAGAAGAAAGAAAAGAAAGAACAUAGACACAUAAAUUAAAGGGUGGAUCAUCACUGCUGUGUGAAGUCGACUAACAAGCAAAUAAUUGUUCUAGAGUUGGAGGGGGUGAUAAGAAAGAAAAGUGCAUGCAGAGGGAAAGCAUCUGGUGAUGAACAAGGUAAGGUGAGGCACAGAUGUGGGACUGUGUCUCUCAGGUGGGUGAAGGUGGAUGAUCCCUGAACUGAUACAAAGCUGUUUUCAAUGCUCUGUUUGAAUGUGGAUGAAUAAAUCAGACUUUCACUGAGGCA
This 1314-nucleotide long non-coding RNA is filed under the name Oryctolagus cuniculus (rabbit). Its description in RNAcentral is "lncRNA (ENSOCUG00000035170.1)". The record is from RNAcentral. Lineage: Eukaryota; Metazoa; Chordata; Mammalia; Lagomorpha; Leporidae.